AAGCUCUCUCAAGCUGGAUGGCAGACUGAGAGGCUGUGUGUCAAUGGGUCUCCCUGAAGAAACCAAUUUAGGAGCUGCCAAGGACUUUGGAUUAUCUUUUAAAGGAAGUGACAAGAGGACAACUUCAAAGGAAAUUGGGAGGACCUUUAUGGAUUAAUGUAGAGAAGUGAAAAGAAAUGGAAGAACAAUGUGUACAAUGACAACAGUAUUAUAGAGACAAGCAGUUUUGAAAGACUAGAAUUCUGAUCCAUGCAAUAAUAAACUGUAAGAGCAGAAGACUGAAGCUAAAAUACAUCAACUACCUGUUACUACCAGAGUGGUGAUGAACGUAAAAUGAAGAGAAAGAUAAAGGCAUGGCUAAUGUGGAAAUUCAGAAGACUAAAGAUAAAACAUAUCAACUACCUGCUACUAGAGUGCUGAUAAACUUAAAAUGCAGAGAAAUAACUGUUUUCAGGCAUGGCCCAAAAUAUGAGAGGGGCAGAUUAGAAAUGCAAGUAAAAAUAAAUAAAUUUAUUAAAAAAAACCACAACCCAAGGUAGCACAUGUCCAACAUUUACUUUCUAUCUUUGGGACAUUUUAUGUUAGAAAAUACUAAUAAAAUUACUUAUUAAUGACAUUA
Molecule: long non-coding RNA, 619 nt
Organism: Monodelphis domestica (gray short-tailed opossum)
Lineage: Eukaryota; Metazoa; Chordata; Mammalia; Didelphimorphia; Didelphidae
Source: RefSeq, a predicted model, not a curated record